GUCUAUGGCCAUGCUACCCUGAAGGUCCCUGAUCUCAUCUGAUCUCAGAAGCUAAGCAGGGUCGGGCCUGGUUAGUACUUGGAUAGGAGACCACCGUGUAAUAUCAGGUGCUGUAAGUG
Molecule: ribosomal RNA, 119 nt
Filed under: Pteropus vampyrus (large flying fox)
Lineage: Eukaryota; Metazoa; Chordata; Mammalia; Chiroptera; Pteropodidae
Source: RNAcentral